GAGCGCCGUUCUGAGAACUGCAGUGUGAUUUCGUACAAAAUUCUUCCUGUAGGAAGUAAGGGGGAGGGACAAGAGGCAUCUUUCAGCGUUUGGAGGACCUCAGAAUUUUGAGCUGGAAUUACGGGCAGCGCGCUGUGUCUCUGGGCAGAUAUCUUGGCUCCUCUACUCAGCAGCUCCCACUUUCAUCCUUAUUGUGAGUGACCAUCGUGAGGAUUAAAUAAAAGGACCCGGAGACCCUUGGAGACGGAUCCCAGCAGACCCCAGGGGUGAUGAACCCUGCAAUUAUUCCACAUCUGGAAAAGCUUCUUUCCCUCCGGCUGACCUCCUGGAGGUAAACCUGAAAGUCUAACCCAUCAAAAACCCUCCUUGGUAACCAGCACGGUGGGAAGAGGUCCUGAGGUAUUUCUCCAAAGAAGACAUCCAAAUGGCCAAAAGACACA
Long non-coding RNA from Mustela erminea (ermine), 440 nucleotides. RefSeq lists it as uncharacterized. The transcript has 3 exons. NCBI's taxonomy places the organism in Eukaryota, Metazoa, Chordata, Mammalia, Carnivora, Mustelidae. The record is from RefSeq and is a predicted model, not a curated record.